AUGGCUGGCGGAGCUACCAUGCAGUCGAGCGGUAACAGAUCCAGCUUGCUGGAUGCUGACGAGCGGCGGACGGGUGAGUAAUGCAUAGGAAUCUGCCCGAUAGUGGGGGAUAACCUGGGGAAACCCAGGCUAAUACCGCAUACGUCCUACGGGAGAAAGGGGGCUUCGGCUCCCGCUAUCGGAUGAGCCUAUGUCGGAUUAGCUAGUUGGUGAGGUAACGGCUCACCAAGGCCACGAUCCGUAGCUGGUCUGAGAGGAUGAUCAGCCACAUCGGGACUGAGACACGGCCCGAACUCCUACGGGAGGCAGCAGUGGGGAAUAUUGGACAAUGGGGGGAACCCUGAUCCAGCCAUGCCGCGUGUGUGAAGAAGGCCCUCGGGUUGUAAAGCACUUUCAGCGAGGAAGAACGCCUAGCGGUUAAUACCCGCUAGGAAAGACAUCACUCGCAGAAGAAGCACCGGCUAACUCCGUGCCAGCAGCCGCGGUAAUACGGAGGGUGCAAGCGUUAAUCGGAAUUACUGGGCGUAAAGCGCGCGUAGGUGGCUUGAUAAGCCGGUUGUGAAAGCCCCGGGCUCAACCUGGGAACGGCAUCCGGAACUGUCAAGCUAGAGUGCAGGAGAGGAAGGUAGAAUUCCCGGUGUAGCGGUGAAAUGCGUAGAGAUCGGGAGGAAUACCAGUGGCGAAGGCGGCCUUCUGGACUGACACUGACACUGAGGUGCGAAAGCGUGGGUAGCAAACAGGAUUAGAUAUCUUGGUAGUC
RNAcentral lists this ribosomal RNA (760 nucleotides) under Vreelandella aquamarina. RNAcentral describes it as "bacterial SSU rRNA". It matches the Rfam family "Bacterial small subunit ribosomal RNA", at positions 32 to 795 of the family's 1533-position model. The record is from RNAcentral. Lineage: Bacteria; Pseudomonadati; Pseudomonadota; Gammaproteobacteria; Oceanospirillales; Halomonadaceae.